Molecule: long non-coding RNA, 1080 nt
Organism: Strigops habroptila (Kakapo)
Lineage: Eukaryota; Metazoa; Chordata; Aves; Psittaciformes; Psittacidae
Source: Ensembl
UCUUCUUUUAUUUAUAUUCCUUUUUCUUCUCCUAAUGCACUGACUUGAUGAAAACUUUAAGCUGAUUUUAAGUCGAUCCAGUUCUGACCUAGCUGGCAAUUACGCAUAAAGACGACUAAAAAAAUAUGCUGCCAUGCGUCCCAGGUUGCCUGGAGACUUUAAUUCUUUUAUUAAUAAUUAAUAAAUACCAAAGACCAUACAUACAAAGUAUAAAAUAUCCCCCCAUUAGGACCAUUAAUAAGGAAUUUUAUUGAUGAAGAAACUACAAAAAUCAGUCUUUAAUAUCUUUAUUUCUAUCAUGGGAUCGAAGUUCCUAUUCAAAUGCAAGCAUGGUUUACACGGAAUGCUCAUGGUAAUUGAUUCUCACAGAUGUUAUUACCAAACCUGCAUUUAGAGGAAACAACUGACAUUUGACUGAGGAGAUCAUAUGCGCACAUGUGUGUAUUGAAAUGUCCUUGGAAGUUUGUUAAAUAACAGAUACUAUAAAUAUUUUUUCUUUUUUGACAGGGUUUAGUAGUUCUUUCAGAUAUCUGUAUUGCAGAAAAAGUCCAGAAACAUAAAUGUGUGAAGCCAAAUAUUCUGAACCUAAGCACCUAUACUCUUAGUUACAAACAUCUAAUUCAGAUAGGAAAGGUGGAAAAAUAUUAAGAACAGAGAUAAUAUCAAAAUACAUUUCCUCUGAACACUGGAUGAUGAUCCCGAGUUAGCAUUGUGGGCAUCUCUCAACUUUCAAAGAAUAAAAUUAAAAAUCAACUAAAUGUAUAUUGGAUCAAUUAUGCCCUGUGUGCUACCAUCCCGAUUCCAACCACAUGCAGUGUUCUAGCCCUCUUAAUUUGUUUUUCCCCACAACCUUCUGCUCUCUCCAUCCAGUCCAGCUUCAUGCAUAACUCUCUAGUUAUCCUGUCCUCAGCCUCAUAUGUUGGUUGCAUUCACUUAAAAGCAGCUUUAUACCCUGGCACAGUUAAUAUUGGGGGAUUGCCCACGAUCAGUCCACAUACAUUACCAGAGGGCUUACGGGGCUACGCUAGUAUUUGAAAGUCACCUUUCUUCUGUAUCAGAUGCUGGAUUUCCAGCAUAUCC